This 496-nucleotide ribosomal RNA is filed under the name uncultured bacterium. RNAcentral's name for it is "partial 16S ribosomal RNA". It matches the Rfam family "Bacterial small subunit ribosomal RNA", at positions 30 to 523 of the family's 1533-position model. The record is from RNAcentral.
AUUGAACGCUGGCGGAAUGCUUUACACAUGCAAGUCGAACGGUAGAGGGGGCAACCCCUCGAGAGUGGCGAACGGGUGAGUAAUAUAUCGGAACGUGCCCAGUCGUGGGGGAUAACGUAGCGAAAGUUACGCUAAUACCGCAUACGAUCUAAGGAUGAAAGCGGGGGACCGUAAGGCCUCGCGCGAUUGGCGCGGCCGAUAUCAGAUUAGGUAGUUGGUGAGGUAAAGGCUCACCAAGCCAACGAUCUGUAGCUGGUCUGAGAGGACGACCAGCCACACUGGAACUGGGACACGGUCCAGACUCCUACGGGAGGCAGCAGUGGGGAAUUUUGGACAAUGGACGCAAGUCUGAUCCAGCCAUUCCGCGUGCAGGAUGAAGGCCCUCGGGUUGUAAACUGCUUUCGUACGGAACGAAAAGGUCUCUCCUAAUACGAGGGGCUCAUGACGGUACCGUAAGAAUAAGCACCGGCUAACUACGUGCCAGCCGCCGCAGUAA